Molecule: long non-coding RNA, 3814 nt
Filed under: Canis lupus familiaris (dog)
Lineage: Eukaryota; Metazoa; Chordata; Mammalia; Carnivora; Canidae
Description: lncRNA (ENSCAFG00000050860.1)
Source: RNAcentral
UUUUUUUUUUUUUUUUUUUUUUUUUAGCGUGUUUGGAUUGUAAAGUAAACUUAGUUAUUUUAAGCUAUCUGUUUUAUAGCUACUACCAUCAAGCCAUAUUUAUCACAAUUAUAAUUUGGCACAUAGCGUUCAUACUGAGAAGCUUAAUAAUACUCAGUAUUUGCUAAAACUAAAAAGAAACCAACAACCAACCGACAAACACAAAAAACCAAAAACCAAUAACGUAUUUACCCAUCCUGUUUGUGGUACUUUGUUACUGCAGCCCUAGCAAAGUAAUACAUCUAUUUCAAACUCUUCAUGUUGUCAUACAUCUGGGUAAAGUUUGAAAAUACAAUGAUUUUUAAACUCCCUCUGUUUUGUAGAGGUCUUGGUUACAGAGAGUGGACUCCACGCUAGAUAAUUUAGGCUGGAAAAAAACUUACUGUUAAGUGUAAUGUAAAUAGCACAUGCAUUCAUUGGGAGGGCUGAGCUGCCAGCAACGAUCCCCCACCACACCGUAGGAUACGGCUGUCCUGGGUGGUGUUGCCGCACAGUGAUGUGGGAACUCAGAAUUAGGCAGCUGCUGUAAGGUGCAGGGGCUGGGCACACCAUCUCUGCCAUGGUCUGUAACCAUCAGAAUAAAAUCAUCCAUGCCCCUGCCUGUCGCUCCUUAUGCCUCAGUUCUGGGUGUGCAAUCAUCUACGGAACUCUAGUGAAAAGAGAACUAAAAAUAUGUCUUUAAAGAUGAGAACAGCUUGAGUGGCUCAGUCGGUUAAGAGACUGACUCUUGCUUUCAGCUCAGGUCGUGAUCUCAGGGUCAGGAUUCCCGGCCCUGCCUGGGCAGGGAGCCUGCUUAAGAGUCUCUCUCCCUCCCUCCGUCCCCCUCCGCCUCUCCCUCUCUCCCCCACUGCACACUCACUCAUGUGCUCUCUCUCUGUCAAAAAAAAAAAAAGAAAAAAAAAAAAAACCAAACAAACAAAAAACAAACAAAAAACAAAACAAAAAAAAAACCAGCAAACAUACAACAGAACAGUAAUAACAAAUCUUUACGGCAAGUUACCAACAUUGUUCUAUGCAUGUCUAUUUCUUAUUUUUAUUGUUCUUCUUGAGAUUUAAACCACUCAAUUAUAUAAACUAUACUGGAAUUAAAAUUAAAAACUGAAAAAAAAAAUUAAGCCAUUCAGUCUCUACCAGCGUGUCCUCAUAGACAAACAUUCUGAUGUAUUUAGCGUAUGCUCUCAUAUUUUUGUGUUCCUGCAAGAUGUGUAUUGUUUUAUUUUCUUAAACUAUUAGUGGACAUGUACGUUGUUUCUGUAAGAGCUUUGUUUUAAAGACUGCUUCAUUUUCACGGGCCCAUCUGAUCCAACUGGUUAUUUCUAACUGCUGCAAGUUACUUUCUGGCCCAUAUUUUAUGUGACCAACCUCUGCCUCCACCGAUCUACACUCAGAUUGCCUCCCUCCUGACGAUGGCCAAGUCCCCUCUGCGGUCCGCUGUGAAAUUCUUUGACAUACACAUCGAGGCAGACGAAUACCAGGUCACCGGGGGAGCAUGCACCGCCUGGAUUUAGUAGUCAGGUUGCUGUCCACGAGCAGCACAGCGGGAUUCCACGUUGGCCUGCCAACACUUGGCAAAAUUCAGUUGUGGCAAAAUCGAGGAAAAAUGAUAUUUCAUGGACAUCUUGAAUUGGAGCUCUCUCAUUCAUAAUGCUGGAAGUAGUUUUUAGUUCCCCAGCCCCUAAUUUUCUAAAUUAGAAAAGCACUGGCAAGACUUCGAGCGUGCCCGUCAGGAGGAUGCCCAGGAAUCUGUCUCCAUGGCCAUCUUCUCUCUCCGCUAACAUCCAGCCGCAACAAUCGCAUCACCCACACCUGCUCCUGCACCGUGUGAAGAAGUGGCCCUUCCUGCGUGUGAAUGUUCUGCUAGCCUUUCUCACGACGGGGAGACGUCCAGGCUCAUCAGCCUUGCCAACAUUUUGGGUGAUGUGAGGUCUGGAGGUGAUUUCUCGUGGAGCGGUCACCCAGGAUUUGACACAUCCCUGUGUAUGUUCUUUGCCCUCAGUGCAUCCAUAGACAGUAGCAGGGGGGAUAUUUGGAUGACGUCAGUGAGAGCUUUUGCCCCAAGAAUGGGAGACUGUGGGGCACGCAGCAUCUCCCCCACCAUGCAGACAACAAAGACUCUUUUAAAAAAAAAAAAAGGAAUAUAAAACUAUUUAUUAAAAAAAAAAACUAUUUAUUGACCACUGUUUACCAGUAUUUACAAUAAAGUAAACAAUAUACAGUUGGAUAACAUUCUAACUACAAAGUUCUUGUUUUUCCUGGUUUCUGCUGAACCAGUAGUUCAAAUACUGAGAAGAUUGAGCCUACAUGUUAGGAAUGAGUUGGGAUGAAGAAAAAAACAUGCAGGUCAAGAAUUUGGAUUAUGGAAGUCUAUCUACCCAUUUAUUCCAGCAGGUGCUCAAAGACUCUUUUUUUUAAAUUUAUUUUUUAUUUUUUAUCUGGCAUAGAAUGCAUUUCUUGUGAAGACUAUCUGGAAGCACCUGGUUCUGCUGUUGAGUAAAAACCAUCUUCCUUUUUCUUCUCUGUUCAUUGUCUGCUCAUAGUCUUGGCGCUCCUCGUCUCCCGUGGCCACAUCUGAAGGAGGUGCUGGGUGCUGCACCCUCUGUGCAGCAGCUCGGACCUCACCGCGCACAUCUUCACUCUGCAGGUUCAGAGGUGGGGGUGGCUUUGAGGGUUAAAGGCUGCGGAUGAAAAAAAAGAAAAUAAAAUAAAGGCUGCGGAUGGCCAGUCUUGCAAUGUCUUUGGCAAAAGAAUUUCACCCUCACGGCGGUCGUGCACUGUUGGUCAGUGUCACAAGUGAAUUAGGAUCAAUCAAAAUCUUGUGUCAUAAUCAUUUUUAGUCUCUUUAUUUAUUUUGAAGACUCUAUCGUGUGGCCUCUGCAAGUCCCUCAUUUCAAACAAUGUUUUAGGAGUUCGGUGCCAGCUUUGUCAGCAGGGCUGUCAUCCUUUUGUGAAAGAGUUAUGCCUUCUGCUAAAGCUGCAAUUUUGUAGUUAGAGUUUGUGGUUGCUAUUGUUUUUUUUUUUUUAUUUUUAAAAAAGAUUUUAUUUGAGAGAGAGCGAGAGAGAUUGAGCACAAGCGGUGGGAAGGAGAAGAGGCAGAGGGAGAAGCAGGGUCCCCAUGGGGCUCAAUUCUGGGACCCCGAGAUCAUGACCUGAGCCAAAGCUGCUUAGCCGAUGGAGCCCUCCUGGUGCCCCAUUGCUAUUGUUUUCUUAACAUAAAUUUUUAUACUAUGAAGAGUUUAAGCAUAAUGUAAAAAAAAGAAUUGUUAAUAAAAAUUCCCAUAUAUUUAUCUUCUAGAUUCAACAAUAAUCAAAAUACCACUUCAUCUAUCUGAUUUUGUUUUUGCUAAUGCAUUUUAAAGGAAACCCAAAACAUUGUUGUUUCAUUCCUACAUAAUUUAGUGUCUAAAACCAAAAACAAGAAUAUUUUCUCAUAUAACCACUCUUCCACUCUCAACUCCAACAAGACAUGUAGUAAUUUUUGUCAAAAUCUGAUGCAUAAUCCACAGUCAUGUGUCCAGGAUUGUCUCAAAGAUUUAUUAAUAGUUAUUUCUUUUUCUUUUUCUUUUCUUUUUUUUUCUUUUUCCUUUAAACUUGGGACUGUAUCAGUUAUUUUUAUGUGCCUGUCUCUGGGGAUCCCUGGGUGGCUCAGUGGUUGAGCGUCUCCUUUAGGCCCAGAUCCUGGAGUCCCAGGAUCGAGUCCCGCGUUGGGCUCCCUGCAUGGAGCCUGCUUCUUCCUCUGCCUGUGUCUCUGCCUCUCUCUCUCUCUGUCUCUCAUGAA